RNAcentral lists this ribosomal RNA (468 nucleotides) under uncultured bacterium. Its description in RNAcentral is "partial 16S ribosomal RNA". It matches the Rfam family "Bacterial small subunit ribosomal RNA", at positions 28 to 507 of the family's 1533-position model. The record is from RNAcentral.
GACGAACGCUGGCGGCGUGCUUAACACAUGCAAGUCGAACGGACAGGCCCUGCUUUUGCGGGGUGCUCGAGUGGCGAACGGGUGAGUAACACGUGAGUAACCUGCCCUUGACUUUGGGAUAACUUCUGGAAACUGGGGCUAAUACCGGAUAGGAGCUCCUGCUGCAUGGUGGGCGUUGGUAAGUUUCGGCGGUUGGGGCUGGACUCGCGGCUUAUCCGCUUGUUGGUGGGGUAGUGGCUUACCAAGGCUUUGACGGGUAGCCGGCCUGAGAGGGGGACCGGCCACAUGGGUACUAAGGUACGGCCCAGACUCCUACGGGAGGCAGCAGUGGGGAAUAUUGCACAAUGAGCGGAAGCCUGAUGCAGCAGCGCCGCGUGCGGGAUGACGGGCUACGGGUUGUAAACCGCUGUCGCCUGUAACGAAGCGGGAGUGACGGUAAUGGGUAAAAAAGCACCGGCUAACUACGUG